RNAcentral lists this transfer RNA (72 nucleotides) under Ameiurus melas (black bullhead). It matches the Rfam family "tRNA". From Rfam's summary of the family: Transfer RNA (tRNA) molecules are approximately 80 nucleotides in length. Their secondary structure includes four short double-helical elements and three loops (D, anti-codon, and T loops). The record is from Rfam by way of RNAcentral. Lineage: Eukaryota; Metazoa; Chordata; Actinopteri; Siluriformes; Ictaluridae.
GGGGAUGUAGCUCAGUGGUAGAGCGCAUGCUUCGCAUGUAUGAGGACCAGGGUUCGAUCUCCUGCAUUUCCA